GAGUGAACGCUGGCGGUAGGCCUAACACAUGCAAGUCGAACGGCAGCACAGUAAGAGCUUGCUCUUACGGGUGGCGAGUGGCGGACGGGUGAGGAAUACAUCGGAAUCUACUUUUUCGUGGGGGAUAACGUAGGGAAACUUACGCUAAUACCGCAUACGACCUACGGGUGAAAGCAGGGGAUCUUCGGACCUUGCGCGAUCGAAUGAGCCGAUGUCGGAUUAGCUAGUUGGCGGGGUAAAGGCCCACCAAGGCGACGAUCCGUAGCUGGUCUGAGAGGAUGAUCAGCCACACUGGAACUGAGACACGGUCCAGACUCCUACGGGAGGCAGCAGUGGGGAAUAUUGGACAAUGGGCGCAAGCUUGAUCCAGCCAUACCGCGUGGGUGAAGAAGGCCUUCGGGUUGUAAAGCCCUUUUGUUGGGAAAGAAAAGCAGCAGGUUAAUACCCCGCUGUUCUGACGGUACCCAAAGAAUAAGCACCGGCUAACUUCGUG
Molecule: ribosomal RNA, 493 nt
Filed under: uncultured bacterium
Lineage: Bacteria
Description: partial 16S ribosomal RNA
Rfam family: Bacterial small subunit ribosomal RNA
Source: RNAcentral